This 630-nucleotide ribosomal RNA is filed under the name Dyella sp. IBb347. RNAcentral's name for it is "bacterial SSU rRNA". It matches the Rfam family "Bacterial small subunit ribosomal RNA", at positions 383 to 1004 of the family's 1533-position model. The record is from RNAcentral. Lineage: Bacteria; Pseudomonadati; Pseudomonadota; Gammaproteobacteria; Lysobacterales; Rhodanobacteraceae.
CUGAUCCAGCAAUGCCGCGUGUGUGAAGAAGGCCUUCGGGUUGUAAAGCACUUUUAUCAGGAGCGAAAUACUGCCGGCUAAUACCCGGCGGGGCUGACGGUACCUGAGGAAUAAGCACCGGCUAACUUCGUGCCAGCAGCCGCGGUAAUACGAAGGGUGCAAGCGUUAAUCGGAAUUACUGGGCGUAAAGCGUGCGUAGGCGGUUCUUUAAGUCUGCUGUGAAAUCCCCGGGCUCAACCUGGGAAUGGCAGUGGAUACUGGAGAGCUAGAGUGUGAUAGAGGAUGGUGGAAUUCCCGGUGUAGCGGUGAAAUGCGUAAAGAUCGGGAGGAACAUCAGUGGCGAAGGCGGCCAUCUGGAUCAACACUGACGCUGAGGCACGAAAGCGUGGGGAGCAAACAGGAUUAGAUACCCUGGUAGUCCACGCCCUAAACGAUGCGAACUGGAUGUUGGUCUCAACUCGGAGAUCAGUGUCGAAGCUAACGCGUUAAGUUCGCCGCCUGGGGAGUACGGUCGCAAGACUGAAACUCAAAGGAAUUGACGGGGGCCCGCACAAGCGGUGGAGUAUGUGGUUUAAUUCGAUGCAACGCGAAGAACCUUACCUGGCCUUGACAUGUCUGGAAUCCUGCAGA